This 253-nucleotide unclassified non-coding RNA is filed under the name uncultured Acidobacteriota bacterium. RNAcentral's name for it is "uncultured Acidobacteria bacterium contains 16S-23S intergenic spacer region". It matches the Rfam family "Bacterial small subunit ribosomal RNA", at positions 524 to 776 of the family's 1533-position model. Lineage: Bacteria; Pseudomonadati; Acidobacteriota. The record is from RNAcentral.
UACGGAGGGGGCUAGCGUUAUUCGGAAUUAUUGGGCGUAAAGGGCGUGUAGGCGGCUUCGCAAGUCCUCUGUGAAAGCCCUCGGCUCAACCGAGGAAUUGCAGGGGAAACUGCGGAGCUCGAGUCCGGGAGAGGAGAGCGGAAUUCCCAGUGUAGCGGUGAAAUGCGUAGAUAUUGGGAGGAACACCCGUGGCGAAGGCGGCUCUCUGGACCGGUACUGACGCUGAGACGCGAAAGCUAGGGGAGCAAACAGG